GGAUCCCCUCUGAAGGCCUACACCCCGGUCGUGGUGACCCUGUGGUACCGUGCCCCAGAGCUGCUGCUUGGUGCCAAGGAAUACUCCACAGCUGUGGACAUGUGGUCAGUGGGCUGCAUCUUCGGGGAGCUGCUGACUCAGAAGCCUCUGUUCCCCGGGAAGUCGGAAAUCGAUCAGAUCAACAAAGUGUUUAAGGUGGGUCUGGGCUCUGCCGCAGGUGCGCUGUGGAUUUCAGAGGAGCUGCAGGAAUGGGGCUGCGGGGCGCACAGGUGCUGGAUUGAGAUGUGGACCAGGGCCACUAAGAGCCCUCCUGGUGGCUUCUCUGCCAGGACACAGGUGCCAACACCGUGGGCCACUUGGCAUGGCUGUUGAAGCACCUCUGUCUUUCAGGAUCUGGGGACCCCCAGUGAGAAAAUUUGGCCUGGCUACAGUGAGCUCCCAGCAGUGAAGAAGAUGACCUUCAGCGAGCACCCCUACAACAACCUCCGCAAGCGCUUCGGGGCUCUGCUGUCAGACCAGGGCUUCGACCUCAUGAACAAGUGAGCCCAGUGCAGCCGGGCGGCGGGAGGUCCCGAGCCAUAGCGGUGGCUUCCCGGUCCCAGGCCUACCUGCUGUCUCACCACCUUCCAGAACUGCUCUGGUGCCUGGCGUCCCAUGCCCUGAGCCCUGUCCCAACAUAGCCCAUCUUUGGGGUACCCAGUGGAGCACACGAGCGCCUCCUGGGCCUCUGGCCCUCUCCCCCCAGGUUCCUGACCUACUUCCCCGGGAGGAGGAUCAGCGCGGAGGACGGCCUCAAGCACGAGUAUUUCCGCGAGACCCCCCUGCCCAUCGACCCCUCCAUGUUCCCCACGUGGCCCGCCAAGAGUGAGCAGCAGCGUGUGAAGCGGGGCACCAGCCCAAGGCCCCCUGAGGGAGGCCUGGGCUACA
This 927-nucleotide small RNA is filed under the name Pongo abelii (Sumatran orangutan). RNAcentral's name for it is "retained intron". Lineage: Eukaryota; Metazoa; Chordata; Mammalia; Primates; Hominidae. The record is from RNAcentral.